Molecule: ribosomal RNA, 228 nt
Filed under: Chaetoceros curvisetus
Lineage: Eukaryota; Bacillariophyta; Thalassiosirophyceae; Chaetocerotales; Chaetocerotaceae
Description: partial Bacterial small subunit ribosomal RNA
Rfam family: Bacterial small subunit ribosomal RNA
Source: RNAcentral
AGGCGGCUUAUUAAGUCGGAUGUGAAAUCCCCGAGCUUAACUUGGGAAUUGCAUUCGAUACUGGUUAGCUAGAGUAUGGGAGAGGAUGGUAGAAUUCCAGGUGUAGCGGUGAAAUGCGUAGAGAUCUGGAGGAAUACCGAUGGCGAAGGCAGCCAUCUGGCCUAAUACUGACGCUGAGGUACGAAAGCAUGGGGAGCAAACAGGAUUAGAUACCCUGGUAGUCCAUGC